This 257-nucleotide ribosomal RNA is filed under the name uncultured bacterium. RNAcentral's name for it is "partial 16S ribosomal RNA". It matches the Rfam family "Bacterial small subunit ribosomal RNA", at positions 795 to 1052 of the family's 1533-position model. The record is from RNAcentral.
CCACGCUGUAAACGAUGAGUGCUAGAUUUUGGUAGUCAAAUAUCAGAAUCGAAGUUAACAUAUUAAGCACUCCGCCUGGGGAGUACGUGCGCAAGCAUGAAACUCAAAGGAAUUGACGGGGACCCGCACAAGCAGCGGAGCAUGUGGUUUAAUUCGAAGCAACGCGAAGAACCUUACCAAGGCUUGACAUAUAUAUGGCGUGUAUAGAGAUAUACAUUUCCCUUUUAGGGACAUAUAUACAGGUGGUGCAUGGUUGU